This 253-nucleotide ribosomal RNA is filed under the name uncultured bacterium. RNAcentral's name for it is "partial 16S ribosomal RNA". It matches the Rfam family "Bacterial small subunit ribosomal RNA", at positions 524 to 776 of the family's 1533-position model. The record is from RNAcentral.
UACGGAGGGGGCUAGCGUUGUUCGGAAUUACUGGGCGUAAAGCGCGCGUAGGCGGGUGUCUAAGUCGGGGGUGAAAUCCCGGGGCUCAACCCCGGAACGGCCUUCGAUACUGGGCGCCUUGAGGUCGGGAGAGGUGAGUGGAAUUCCGCGUGUAGAGGUGAAAUUCGUAGAUAUUCGGAGGAACACCAGUGGCGAAGGCGGCUCACUGGCCCGAUACUGACGCUGAGGUGCGAAAGCGUGGGGAGCAAACAGG